AUCAGACCGGGAAAACAGUAGAAGGUGCUCAAACAGAGACGGCUGACCUUGGUGAAACAGCCGGCGCCCCUUCGAAUUGGAGCCGCGGUCAACAUUGCAAUACACCAAUAAGUGACGGGAAUUUCCCCGUAAGAUAGGUGGCACCGCGGUCAUUCGUCCUAUCC
Molecule: unclassified non-coding RNA, 164 nt
Filed under: Limosilactobacillus fermentum
Lineage: Bacteria; Bacillati; Bacillota; Bacilli; Lactobacillales; Lactobacillaceae
Description: Lactobacillus fermentum T-box
Source: RNAcentral